Molecule: ribosomal RNA, 497 nt
Filed under: uncultured bacterium
Lineage: Bacteria
Description: partial 16S ribosomal RNA
Rfam family: Bacterial small subunit ribosomal RNA
Source: RNAcentral
GAUGAACGCUGGCGGCGUGCCUAAUACAUGCAAGUCGAGCGAACGGACGAGAAGCUUGCUUCUCUGAUGUUAGCGGCGGACGGGUGAGUAACACGUGGAUAACCUACCUAUAUGACUGGGAUAACUUCGGGAAACCGGCGCUAAUACCGGAUAAUCUUUUGAACCGCAUGGUUCAAAAGUGAAAGACGGUCUUGCUGUCACUUAUAGAUGGAUCCGCGCUGCAUUAGCUAGUUGGUAAGGUAACGGCUUACCAAGGCAACGAUGCAUAGCCGACCUGAGAGGGUGAUAGGCCACACGGGAACUGGGACACGGUCCUGACUCCUACGGGAGGCAGCAGUAGGGUAUCUUCCGCAGUAGGCGAAAGCCUGACGGAGCAACCGCGAGUGAGAUAUGAAGGUCUUCGGAUCGUAAAACUCUGUUAUUAGGGAAGAACAUAUGUGUAAGUAACUGUGCACAGCUUGACGGUACCUAAUCAGAAAGCCACGGCUAACUACGUG